Molecule: ribosomal RNA, 641 nt
Filed under: uncultured Bacteroidota bacterium
Lineage: Bacteria; Pseudomonadati; Bacteroidota
Description: SSU rRNA
Rfam family: Bacterial small subunit ribosomal RNA
Source: RNAcentral
AUAGUAUCAGUUACUGGUGUGAGAGCACGACCAGUCACACGGGCACUGAGACACGGGCCCGACUCCUACGGGAGGCAGCAGUAAGGAAUAUUGGUCAAUGGACGCAAGUCUGAACCAGCCAUGCCGCGUGGAGGAUGAAGGUCCUCUGGAUUGUAAACUUCUUUUAUCUGGGAAGAAACCCAUGAAUUCUUUUGUGGUUGACGGUACCAGAUGAAUAAGCACCGGCUAACUCCGUGCCAGCAGCCGCGGUAAUACGGAGGGUGCAAGCGUUAUCCGGAUUUACUGGGUUUAAAGGGUGCGUAGGCGGAAUGGUAAGUCCGUGGUGAAAUCCCCGAGCUUAACUUGGGAACUGCCAUGGAUACUAUCAAUCUUGAAUAUCAUGGAGGUAAGCGGAAUAUGUCAUGUAGCGGUGAAAUGCUUAGAUAUGACAUAGAACACCAAUUGCGAAGGCAGCUUACUACGCGAUUAUUGACGCUGAGGCACGAAAGCGUGGGGAUCAAACAGGAUUAGAUACCCUGGUAGUCCACGCCCUAAACGAUGAUCACUCGACAUCCGCGAUACACUGUUGGUGUCUGAGCAAAAGCAUUAAGUGAUCCACCUGGGAAGUACGAUCGCAAGAUUGAAACUCAAAGGAAUUGACG